This 1058-nucleotide unclassified non-coding RNA is filed under the name Hevea brasiliensis (rubber tree). Lineage: Eukaryota; Viridiplantae; Streptophyta; Magnoliopsida; Malpighiales; Euphorbiaceae. The record is from RNAcentral.
UGUUGUUGAGAAGAGAAGACCACCUCGAAGGCUCCGGAGAGUUCACUCCUUGCAGUGGUAAGAAAAUAUUUGCUCAAAAUGUGAUGGAAGACAGAUGUCCUUUGCUGACAUGGAGAGUAAAUGAAAAGCAGCAUUGUCAGUAAAAUUUCAUUUUUCUUUUAAAUUAGGUAUUUGAACCCAAUUGUUGUCUGAGAGCAGUCGUGGUUCCUGAUAUAAAAGGGGGGGAAAAAAAGAGGGGCGGUGGGGGGGGUGGGCAUUGCAACCUGAAUCAUGAAGGGAAAAUUCUUUUGUUUAACUGAAUUUAGGAAAUUUCUAUCAUGGGAAGAUGGAUGGCAAAAGAGUCUAGCUAUUUAUCUAGUUAGCAGGUAUAGCAAUCCAAACCUUUGUUACUCCCAAUUGCUACCGUAAAAGUGGAGGAAGAGGAAGGGAGGGGGUUGGUGCUGUGGGGCGCUGGUAUUGGGGUUGUGUGAUAGAAGGGAUUCUGGACUGGCAUAGUGUAUUUAUGUGUUGGCAACUUAUGAUAGCCCUGACAAAAUAUAGAUUGGUGGAUGGUAACUAUUUAUAGUAAAGCAUGCUCCGCAUUAUUUUCCUGGCAAAAAUUGAUCCAUGUUUCUGAUCACUGACAUGAACUGGAGCUGUCUUGUUGGGAAUCUCUCGUUCUUUGAGGCGUGUGGUGAUGGUGAUAUGAUGGAAGAAAUGGUCCUUUGGUAGGGCAUCCUAGAAAAGUUGCUGCUUGUAAUAGUUAGGGUAGUCUGCAAACUGCAUGCUCAAGACAUCUUGGAAAAAUGACACUGCACACAAUUAUUCCAAUAAGUGAAUUGAGUUGGGCUUUUCAUCGGCAGCUUUGAAUUCUAUAAAGGACGAGUAUAUACAGAAGCAUGCAAAAUUCCAUCAAUCAAUAUAACUCAUAAUUGGCUUUAUCCUCUCACUCUAAAUUUUUUAUUCAAAUAAACUAAACCCACAUUCCCAAUAAAAAAUUAUUGGGUAACUAUUAGCUUGAACAUUUUCCUGCCUUUUUGCUAUUGAAAUUUCUUCUUGUGUUUUUUAAAUUCAAAUAA